AUUUACUCCAGUAAACUCCGGUUCCUGCGCUCCGGCGACGCCCGACCUACCUUCGCUCGCUGCGUUCUGGUGGCU
This 75-nucleotide small RNA is filed under the name Billgrantia desiderata. RNAcentral's name for it is "sX9 sRNA". It matches the Rfam family "Xanthomonas sRNA sX9". The record is from RNAcentral. Lineage: Bacteria; Pseudomonadati; Pseudomonadota; Gammaproteobacteria; Oceanospirillales; Halomonadaceae. RNAcentral also lists the same sequence under 1 other name.